RNAcentral lists this ribosomal RNA (518 nucleotides) under uncultured Gammaproteobacteria bacterium. Its description in RNAcentral is "bacterial SSU rRNA". It matches the Rfam family "Bacterial small subunit ribosomal RNA", at positions 9 to 524 of the family's 1533-position model. Lineage: Bacteria; Pseudomonadati; Pseudomonadota; Gammaproteobacteria. The record is from RNAcentral.
GAGUUUGAUCAUGGCUCAGAUUGAACGCUGGCGGCAGGCCUAACACAUGCAAGUCGAGCGUGAAAGGGCUUCGGCCUGAGUAAAGCGGCGGACGGGUGAGUAACGCGUAGGAAUCUGCCCAUUAGUGGGGGACAACCCGGCGAAAGCCGGGCUAAUACCGCAUACGCUCUACGGAGGAAAGCGGGGGAUCGUAAGACCUCGCGCUAAUGGAUGAGCCUACGUCGGAUUAGCUAGUUGGUAGGGUAAAAGCCUACCAAGGCGACGAUCCGUAGCUGGUCUGAGAGGACGAUCAGCCACACUGGGACUGAGACACGGCCCAGACUCCUACGGGAGGCAGCAGUGGGGAAUAUUGGACAAUGGGGGCAACCCUGAUCCAGCAAUGCCGCGUGUGUGAAGAAGGCCUGCGGGUUGUAAAGCACUUUCAGCGGGGAAGAAAAGUCGGAGCUAACACCUCCGAAAUUGACGUUACCCGAAGAAGAAGCACCGGCUAACUCCGUGCCAGCAGCCGCUGCGGUAAC